UGGAUCAUUGAUGACUACUGGUGGUGCAUGAGCCCUAUACGAUGAAUAUGUGUCAUAUUCUGAGGUCCAA
Molecule: small nucleolar RNA, 70 nt
Organism: Molossus molossus (Pallas's mastiff bat)
Lineage: Eukaryota; Metazoa; Chordata; Mammalia; Chiroptera; Molossidae
Product: small nucleolar RNA SNORD113/SNORD114 family
Exons: 1
Source: RefSeq, a predicted model, not a curated record